RNAcentral lists this ribosomal RNA (747 nucleotides) under Triticum aestivum (bread wheat). Its description in RNAcentral is "partial small subunit ribosomal RNA". The record is from RNAcentral. Lineage: Eukaryota; Viridiplantae; Streptophyta; Magnoliopsida; Poales; Poaceae.
AUGUAUGCUUCAUAUUCACUGUCUCUUCUUGUGUUUUUUUAUACCUGCAACUUCUCUCAUGUUUUGUGUUUGUUACAUCAUUAUUUUACUCUUUUUACCUUACCUUGUGUGCAGAAAACUGCUGUCAAUUAUCUUACUAGACCCAUUAGGUUCUUUCAUCAAUUGGAAGAGUUAUUCUUGGAUCAAUCUCAUGCCGAUGGCUCACUUUCACUUGACCAAACCACUGUUAAUGCGGAUGAUGGUAGUGAUGACAGCGAGGAUGUGAGGGAACUUGAAGGAAAUCUAAUUCCAACAGACAGUGAUGAAGCUGACUCUGACACUAUUGAUCGUCGAAGUCCUAAAGUCGACUUGGAUGGAAAUCCAUUAAACAAGAAGCGCAAGUGUGCAUCAUCAUCACCUUCCAAGAAGCCAACCAAGGGCAAAGCAAACAAGAAGGGCAAGGUAUCUAAUGAUGAUAUGGUAACCAGUAUCAAGAAGCUAGCUGAAUCCCUUGCAUCCCCUAUUGUGUCUGUGCAACCAAUGCCACAUGCAGAUCCUUAUGCAAAUCUUUGGAAGCGGAUCAAUGCCCUUACCAUCCCAGCUAAGGAUAAACUUGAGAUUGUUGCUUAUCUAUCCAAGCCAGACCAAGAUAUCUUUCGUAGCUAUCUUAACUAUGCUGAUGAACCAAUUCUUCGAGAGUGGGUCAUUAGCUACUUUGAGCCUCAGCUUCAUGAAGGUGGCAAUGAUGUAUCUGCGGCUGCUCACUGA